RNAcentral lists this long non-coding RNA (1692 nucleotides) under Nicotiana benthamiana. Its description in RNAcentral is "long non-coding RNA (NBEN_LNC006414)". Lineage: Eukaryota; Viridiplantae; Streptophyta; Magnoliopsida; Solanales; Solanaceae. The record is from RNAcentral.
GAAGCAAGAAAUUUAUAUAAUUCUACAAGACAUAAUUAUACAACAAUCUACCACCGAGCAUGAUUAACCCUGAAAUAUACAUAUAUGCUCGUCACCUCAUAUAUGUAUCAACCCCACACGUAGCAAACAACGGCAAAUAAGAAGAAAAUUUCCUCAACAAAGUUAGGCAAAAUAGUUACCUCGAACAAGCCAAUAACAAUAUCGAGCAAGCCAAGCUAUCACGGAAGAAUCCACCUGCAAACUGCAGUAAAGCAAGCAAUUAGUAAAUUUUACUUACCAUUUUUAUUUGUGCAAUUAAUAGCAAGCAGUAGUUGAUAUAACUAACUACAAUACUUAUCUUACGGACAAGAAAAGUAUUUAAGAACAAAUAAAUGAGCUCACAGCGUUUGAGCUAGGUUUCCGUGGAUCACCUAGAGUUAGCAGAAGAAGAGGAGUCAUCGAUGCAUCGAUUCUGACAGUUUAAUUACAACCUCAAUCGAAAGGUCAGAAUUGCCAUAGACUUGACACAGAUAUAGUAGAGCCAGAUGCCUGAUAAAAAGGUGAAGGAAUAAUUACAAACCGAAAUAACUUAGUUGAAAUGCAAACUAUUGAAUACAAAGGCACAAACUUAGAUUGCCAAACAAUUUCAAUAGCAAAAUACAAAGUAACUUAAUAUACACUACAAUUUCUUCGUUAAUUCCUUAGUAACCUUCAGUAAUUGGUUCACUUUCAAAAAAAAUGUUUGGCAAAUCUCAAAUUGCACCAGUCAGUAAAUCUCAACCCGUUUCAAAUUCACCACUUUAGAGAGGAAAUGUGAGGGCUGUUUGACUCAAGAUAACUUGCAGAAAAGAGGUUUCAGGUUGUGCAAUAGAUGUUACUUCUGUAAAGAAGAAUAGGAAUCAGUAAAUACCUUCUCCUGCAUUGCAGAGUAUCUAGGCAAUUCUGGGAUCUAUUUUUCAGCAUUUCUCGGAUGAUGCCUCAAACAAUAGAAGCUUGGCAAUCUCAAAGAGUAUCUACAAGGCAAUGGAGAAACUAUUCCAUUGUGUAUUCUGUGGACCUUAUGGUUGGAAAGGAGCAAAGCAUGCUUUGAAGGAACAGGAAUCAAAACAUGUCUUCAUAAUCUGUAACUUUGGUGUAAUUGUAGUAAUUUAGUAAAUCAGAAUCAUAUUGGGCUGUCUGUUGUACUAUUUGUACCAUCUUGGUACUUAUUACUUUUACCUUAUCAAAAAAAGAGUCUCUACAGCAAUAAGAUUCUUCAGAGAAUCAACAUUAAAAUUGUUAGUACACAAUCCACACAGAAUAAAGCUCUCCAUCAAGCAGUCAACAAGUCAGCAAAAGAUCAAAAUCCUAACGCAGGCUUUCAGAAAGGGCAUAUUUUUUCGAUUAAAAAUUUAAUUGUGUACAAAACUGCUCUAACUGAGUUCUGAAGGUUCAAGCUCGGCUCAAGAUCGUUUAAUGAACAAGCUCGGGUUGAAGCUCCACCCAAUUAUGUUCCUAAUCCUAACCGGAAGGGGCACAAUGUUCAAAAAUUGGAAAAUGUCUGUUAUUAUGAGAUGAGACAGAAAGUGUUUACAAAUACUUAAAAACAAAAAAGUAGAUUACAAGAUCAUGCAAAUAUAGUAAAAUAUCAAGACAUGCUGACCUUAACUGCAAGCACCCUGCCAAUGGAUGCUUCAGACUCAUUCCACUUCAUCUGAGAGCGUAGUCCAUUUC